UAGGAAUCUUCCACAAUGGACGCAAGUCUGAUGGAGCAACGCCGCGUGAGUGAAGAAGGUCUUCGGAUCGUAAACUCUGUUGUUAGAGAAGAACACGAGUGAGAGUAACUGUUCAUUCGAUGACGGUAUCUAACCAGCAAGUCACGGCUAACUACGUGCCAG
Molecule: ribosomal RNA, 162 nt
Filed under: uncultured bacterium
Lineage: Bacteria
Description: partial 16S rRNA
Rfam family: Bacterial small subunit ribosomal RNA
Source: RNAcentral